UCGAACAACAAGCCUAUGAUGCCGGGGCUCAUACCCCGGAUGUUCAGGGCUUUAACGGGUGUGUUAGCGGCCACCAGAGUAACCCUCUGGGCGGUUUAGGGUUCAAUCGAACCCUUUCACGCGCACACUACCGAUAUCCUUAUUCUACUCGUACCUCUCGUUCUCCUUCGGUGGGGCAACCUGCCGUUGGAAAUACAAAACUCUUUUUUGCAUCUAGCAUUACCUGUUCUGAUACAAAUAAUCGUUA
RNAcentral lists this unclassified non-coding RNA (247 nucleotides) under uncultured Ascomycota. RNAcentral describes it as "sequence contains ITS1". Lineage: Eukaryota; Fungi; Ascomycota. The record is from RNAcentral.